CACCAAGGGCAGCAGGAACGUGGGGGAGCUGCUGGCGGCCUUCGAGCUCAUCCAGAGGGAGAAGCCGGCUGUCCAUCACAUCCCCGGCUUCGAGAGUGAUUUGUCCUCCAGCCUGGACGAG
Molecule: long non-coding RNA, 121 nt
Organism: Manacus vitellinus (golden-collared manakin)
Lineage: Eukaryota; Metazoa; Chordata; Aves; Passeriformes; Pipridae
Exons: 3
Source: RefSeq, a predicted model, not a curated record